CUCUCGCGAUCCUUGCUGGGAUUUUAUCUCCUAAACAUAAACCCUAAUAUUUGAUUCUUUUUUCUAUGGCCCAUCUUUUCCAAUGCCUUGUCUAAAUGGAUCAAUAACCAACCUUAGGUACAGCUUCAUACGUUAGUUUAUUAGGUUUUGUGGAGCGGAGAUUGGUCUUCUGAGGGAGCUACAACUGUGUUUCUCUCAUUUUCUUAGCAUCCAAGCAAGUAGUUGGU
RNAcentral lists this unclassified non-coding RNA (227 nucleotides) under Hevea brasiliensis (rubber tree). The record is from RNAcentral. Lineage: Eukaryota; Viridiplantae; Streptophyta; Magnoliopsida; Malpighiales; Euphorbiaceae.